Trichechus manatus latirostris (Florida manatee) is the source of this 993-nucleotide long non-coding RNA. RefSeq lists it as uncharacterized. The record is from RefSeq and is a predicted model, not a curated record. The transcript is spliced from 3 exons. NCBI's taxonomy places the organism in Eukaryota, Metazoa, Chordata, Mammalia, Sirenia, Trichechidae.
GGAGCACAUUAUAAUGUCUCCAGAGCCUGACAAUGAAUGCAAGCCUCUCAGUGAUGGAUUAAUCAAUUCAGCAUGCGCUCAAUCUAUCAAUUCAGAGCAGCUCCUCAAAUGCUGCAGUGCAAUUACAAACUGCUUGUCACUGUGUGGAUCACACCAGGAAACAGUACCUAAACCCAGUGGACACACUGCUCUGGCCAGAGACCUUGUUUGGAAACCAGAGGGAGAAAUAUACAUAAAACAGAGAAGUAAGAAGAAUGUUUAAAAUUUCUCCUGAAUGCUGAAGAUGCUGUGGGGGUUUUCUCAGUGGGAGAGAGGGAGUUAAAAGGGAGGCGUUAAUGAGGGAUAAAGGAAGCAGGAAGCCUGGAAAACUGACUUGUCCACGGAGGAGAGGAUAGCUGGCAUGAAUGUUUCCUAGAACACAGCCCUUUUCAUUAAAAAGAUUUUUUUUGCUUCCAAUGAGCGAGGAAUACCUAUCAAUUCACCAGAAGCUGAAGUGCUGUGAUAGCAGAUUUGUCUUGUAAUAGUACUAUGAUAUUGACAUGAAGAAAAUUCGUGAAUGUGUUUGAGAGAGACAAAGUAACAAAGGGGAGAGAUAGAUAAUAUUUUCUUUUAUUUCUGGAUGAAGAUUCCUCUUGAAAAUCCUGCGGAAGUUUCAGAAAGGUGGUUAAUUGAUUCCGGGGUGUUUGUUUUCAACGCGAGGCUCCUCAGACCUCAACUUCGGCAUUCCUGGAAUGCAAUGAUUGAAAACUGGCUGUUACCUCAAACAGAAAGCAUAAACAAGGGCCAAACCAAAGGCAUAGAAAAUAUGUGCUGAAGGAGAUCAGAGGAGAUGGGGAUGGCGUCCAGCUGCAGUGACAUGGAGACUUGCAAUUAUGGAUGUGUGCUGCUUGUUCCUCCUCUGCCUGUGACUGAAUAAACAAGUACAGCAAUCCUGGACUGAGACAGUAUGAUUGCCAGGGGCUCAGAGCCUCCUGGAAUGGCAGUCUGGGUCAU